Molecule: long non-coding RNA, 1474 nt
Filed under: Olea europaea subsp. europaea
Lineage: Eukaryota; Viridiplantae; Streptophyta; Magnoliopsida; Lamiales; Oleaceae
Source: RNAcentral
GUUCAUCUUUGAUUUUUCAACUUCUAGAGGAGGAAUUCAAGUUGUAUUUGUCAAAUGAUAAACCACCUUACAAAAUCUAUAAAUAGGCCUUAGGAUGUGUUCAUUAUAUAUGUAAGUAUAUUUUAAUGAACUAAGUGAGGAUUUGUGAUAGAUAGAGUUUGUUCUUUUGAGAGAGAGAGAGAUAGAGUUUGAAAUUCUUUGUAACUCCUAUUUGAAACUCAUCUUGUAAACCUCUGUUCUUAUUUCUUAGUAGAGUCGCAUUAUUCCUUAGUGAAAUCUAUAUCCAAGUUUUGCUAUUUUCAUUAUCCUGGGCAAAUUCUUACCUAACAAGUAAAAUAAACUUACCAUACUUACCACUGCUAUAGAAGAAACAUAUUUGCUAUUUCGGUUUACAGUUCAUUUGUUUUUGGAACAAUUUAUAGGCUGUAGCACAGAGACUAGAGUUCAAUGGACUGAGUGAUUAAUAUUUCAAUGUACACAUGACUGAUAAUAGGCAGUAUUCUUGUCUGAUACCAUGUGCGUAUUAGUAUCUUGAGGUGAAGAAUAUAUCUUCUAAACUUGUGUAUAUUGAAAGUUCAUACUUGACAGGGUAUAAAACUCUAGAAGAGCUUGCCUCUUUCUUUGUGUUCUUGUGCUUUUAUGUGUGCCUUUCGGUCUAGACCCAUGAUGAUAUUUCAUACCAUACCGGUGCUUUCUCUGAUUGAUCGGGCAAGCUUCCUUAUCUGAUUGGCAAUCUAAUAUUCUGCUGCUUCAUUUUGCUUCCGUAGCAUUUUGCUACCAUUAUUUGACAGUUGGAAUGUAGUGUUCGAAGUUAUGUAGUGCAUCUGUUAUGGCUCAUUGGCUUAUUUAUUUGCCAAUAUCAAUGCAGAUAAACCACAAUGCAUGAAUGAUAACAAUAAAAUGAGUGAGGAUAUGUUGAUACCCAAUCAGCCUAUAUAAGCAAAAUUUGAAACUCUUUAAGAACUUAGAUAAUUACUGUAAGUGUGAUGCACCAAUGUGGAAUGCAAGCUCAAGGCAUCAGAUCAUAUUGACUUUAGAGUGUUUUGGGAAAAGAAAUCAUUCCCUUUUCCAAUUCUCCGUGAGCCACCAAGAAUACAUAGUUCUACUCAAGUUUAUGACAUUAAGUGAAGAUUUUCUACAAAAGCUCUUCCUAAUGUUUGAAUAGCUUAUAGAUCAAGUAUCCUAGGAAAAUAAUGAAUGCUGUGUCUAGUUUGUGAAAAAUAGAUUCUGAAUUUUCGUGAGAAAAUUUUUAGUACUCUCAGAGUAUGAAACUUUUACGAUCUAAUUGACAUGUGUAUAUUUGCCACUAAUCAUUUUUUCGUUCAACUAACUUGUGAUGCUUUUUGAGUGAACUUUGUUUGAAAAGUAUACAACCAUUCUGAGUAUGGGUUGAUAUGAGUAGUUUUUAGAAUUUUAAUUAUGUUAGUUUUAGGCAGUAUUCUAAAAACGCCCCCCUUGUGUUUUUUUUUUCCGC